This 527-nucleotide long non-coding RNA is filed under the name Physcomitrium patens. RNAcentral's name for it is "long non-coding RNA (PPAT_LNC000024)". The record is from RNAcentral. Lineage: Eukaryota; Viridiplantae; Streptophyta; Bryopsida; Funariales; Funariaceae.
UAGGAUUAGGUUUUGGUUUAGGAUUUAGGAUUUGAUUAGGAUUUAGGAUUUGUUUUAGGGUUUGAAUUAGGAUUUGGUUAGGAGUUAGGAUUUGGAUUAGGAUUUGGUUAGGGUUUGAUUAGGGUUUAGGAUUUGGUUAGGGUUUAAUUUAGGAUUUAGGGUUUGGAUUAGGGUUUGGUUAGGGUUUAGGAUUUGGUUAGGAUUUGGUUUAGGGUUUAGGAUUUGGUUUAGGAUUUGAUUUAAGAUUUGGAUUAGGAUUUGGAUUAGAGUUUAGGAUUUGGUUUAUGGAUUGGUUUAAGGUUUAUGGUUUGAUUAAGGUUUGAUUAGGGUUUGAUUUAGGAUUUAGGAUUUAGGAUUUAAGAUUUAAUCAGUUUUUGCCUAAAGUUUGAAUGAAGUUCAAUAUAAUUUUAACUAGAAUUAAAUAAAGAUUGAAUUGAGAUGUAUUUGAGUGAUAUUUGUGAUCCUUCUAAUAUUUCUUUAAGAAUUCUUAUUGUUUGUUUGAAAUUUCUUUGAGUUUUUUUUGAAUU